Molecule: non-coding RNA, 86 nt
Organism: Pseudomonas fluorescens
Lineage: Bacteria; Pseudomonadati; Pseudomonadota; Gammaproteobacteria; Pseudomonadales; Pseudomonadaceae
Source: Rfam
CUUGAUGGUGGCUGUACGCAGGGCGCUCAGGCGCGCCGGCUUCUUCGGUUCCCCGGUCUACUAACCUGCGUACAGCUGCCACCCCA